This is a long non-coding RNA of Neopsephotus bourkii (Bourke's parrot), 2059 nucleotides long. RefSeq lists it as uncharacterized. The record is from RefSeq and is a predicted model, not a curated record. The transcript has 4 exons. Lineage: Eukaryota; Metazoa; Chordata; Aves; Psittaciformes; Psittacidae.
GUGUGUGCAUAUAAUGUGAGGGCAUGCUAGUGUAACAGCUACAAGUUACAUCUACAGGUAAAUCUCUCAUGAAAAACCAAGUGAAGAGAGAAAAUCAAGAGGCCCUUGCUCAGUGCAACUCUCUGCUAAUUAAACACUGGUGUUAAUUGCAGUAAUGUGCCUGGACCCUGUUCCCUGUGUUUGUUGUGGAGCCUGCACGAGCUCUGUAUUGCUCAGAACUUCCACAUUCCCACACAAAAUGAAACCAUCUAUAAAAGGAAUGAAAGGCUGUGAUAUGUAUAUAUAUCUAUAGGGCUAUUUUUAAAGAAAAGAUUUUUUUGUGUGUGCUAGUUCAAAGCCAGCUUUGAUUAUCUAAAGGAAAAGUCAGUCUUUAAAAAGGGUCAAAAAAUAAAUGUAAAGAUGGAAUCUUUUUUUAUUUAAUCCAUGAUGAAAAGAGCAUUUCCUAUUUGCAAUGCUCCUGCUUCUCAAUUUUUAGAUUAUCUUAUUUUAGUUUAUCUUUAAUUAAGGUCGAAAUGUAAAAGUUUCAGGCAGCAUUUCCCGUCCUUCCUUUACGAAAUGUGCAAAGCAGCAUUCCAUUAGGGCCAACAGCCAGUAAAAGGGAUGUCAUUUGACACCCUUAUACAACUAUGCAUACCAGGCUGGAACGGAGAGAGCGGGAUUAUGUGAGUGGAUAGAAAGCCCUUCUAGAGAGAGGAUUUACUCACACUGUUUUUCUUUACACAUUCUGCUCACUGAAGAUAGUAAAUCAGCUAUUGGACUUGCAGAAACAACUCUCAUGAUGGCUAAAGAAUUUAGGCACAAAGUAGAUGAAGGCAAAGAUCUGGCCUCUCUACAGCAGCUCAUAGCAACCAUGGGAAGAGACCAAACAGCGCCCACGUCCCCAGGGGCUAAACAGUGCCUAUGCCUGGACCGUAUUUUCCUCUUCUAAGGCAUGGAUAAGAGGUGGGCUGGGUUUCCAGAGCCCAGGCCAAAUCCCACAUUAACCUUCUGCUUUUAUGGCAGGCUAAACCGAAGCCCUGGAUCUGCAUGUUCUAAAAUGCCAAAGACCGUACUUUACAGUUGCUGUAAGGCAGAAACUGUCUUUUCUGCUACACAGAAAAACUUAAGCCUGCAGGAUGCAGAUCAAAACUCCCCUCCCAGGUUCAGCACUGCAGUUCCACUGGAGUCAGAGAGGCUAGGAAGAAAGCAACAGCUUUUUGUGUAUUUUUCAUCCUGCCUUGAGGACCAUUUUAACUGGAAGUCUUAUGAAACUCACUUCCAUUUUAGCAAAACUUCAAAUGAGAAGCACAUCAUGAAGGACUGCUUGGGUCUGCGUCUUCCAGAAACCUACCCUACAAGAAUGAUUGCACUGGUUCUGUACUGUGAGAAUCUAACUGAACCUUCAUGGAAAAAGGGAGGCAGAAUGUGCCUGCAGGCCACAGGGAUAGAAGAAAACCACAGAUCAAGUUGCAUGCCCUCCAAGACUUGACAAAAGCCAUCUUGGCAUAUGGAGGAUAGCAGGACCUACAUCUUGCAAAAUCAUUUGAAAGCUCUGAUGGUUGCCUCAUGGAUGUUCUUAUUUCUUGAUAAUGCCAGUUUAUUAUCUAAGCUCCAGAAAUAUCCAAAGACCUCAUCCCUAUUGCGUAAAGCACUGUACAAACACAUAAUCAAUCAACAAUCCUGUCUUCUAAGAUUUUAUAUAUGAAAUUGCAACCAUGAGAAAUGCAAACACAUAUGCCAAAGCUUAAUGUUAUUUGUAGGUAAAACAUUAGGAGGAGCCUAGACUAUUUCAGCACUACCACAACCACAUAGGUUAGGGUGAACAGCAAGAGCAAUGUUUAAAUCACAGGAAGCAAUUUGGCUAGUCAUAAUGAUCUCAGAUACCAAAUAUUCUGCACAAAAUACUUUGUUUCCCAGCAACCCUCAAAUUGCUGUUAAAAUCUUAAUCCUACAGCUUUACAUACGAUACGAAAAUUUGACCUUUUAUACAAGUGCAUACUAAUAACAGCAGCUGAAUUGUCUGAAAGGUACAGUAAAACUCAAAGCCAUUCAUAUUCAUAAAUUAAUAUUUUUCAUGUUA